Molecule: unclassified non-coding RNA, 207 nt
Filed under: uncultured Leucosporidiales
Lineage: Eukaryota; Fungi; Basidiomycota; Microbotryomycetes; Leucosporidiales
Description: sequence contains ITS2
Source: RNAcentral
ACUCUUCAACCCACUAGUUUCUUGUAGACUAGCUGGUGUUUGGAUUUUGAAUGUUGCUGGUCUUCGGACGUAGCUCGUUCGUAAUACAUUAGCAUCUCUAUUCGAAUUCGGAUUGACUCAGUGUAAUAGACUAUUCGCUGAGGACACUUUUAUUAGUGGCCGAACAAGAUAAUUGUAGAAGCUUCAAACCUCUAUAGUCAAUUUUAG